Molecule: non-coding RNA, 72 nt
Organism: Podarcis lilfordi (Lilford's wall lizard)
Lineage: Eukaryota; Metazoa; Chordata; Lepidosauria; Squamata; Lacertidae
Source: the annotation of a GenBank genome assembly
GGGCCAUGGCACAGUGGUAGAGCAUCUGCCUUGCAUGCAAAAGGUCUCCAGGUCCAGUCCCUGGCAUCCCCA